AUGAACGCUUGCGGCGUGCCUAAUACAUGCCAGUCGAGCGAACAGACGAGGAGCUUGCUCCUCUGACGUUAGCGGCGGACGGGUGAGUAACACGUGGAUAACCUACCUAUAAGUCUGGGAUAACUUCGGGAAACCGGAGCUAAUACCGGAUAAUAUAUUCAACCGCAUGGUUCAAUAGUGAAAGACGGUUUUGCUGGCACUUAUAGAUGGAUCCCCGCCGCAUUAGCUAGUUGGUAAGGUAACGGCUUACCAAGGCAACGAUGCGUAGCCGACCUGAGAGGGUGAUCGGCCACACUGGAACUGAGACACGGUCCAGACUCCUACGGGAGGCAGCAGUAGGGAAUCUUCCGCAAUGGGCGAAAGCCUGACGGAGCAACGCCGCGUGAGUGAUGAAGGUCUUCGGAUCGUAAAACUCUGUUAUUAGGGAAGAAAAAAUGUGUAAGUAACUCUGCACGUCUUGACGGUACCUAAUCAGAAAGCCACGGCUAACUACGUG
This 496-nucleotide ribosomal RNA is filed under the name uncultured bacterium. RNAcentral describes it as "partial 16S ribosomal RNA". It matches the Rfam family "Bacterial small subunit ribosomal RNA", at positions 29 to 507 of the family's 1533-position model. The record is from RNAcentral.